AACGCGAAGAACCUUACCUGGGCUCGAACGGUGGAAGACAAGCUUUAGAAAUAGAGCUUUCCCGCAAGGGACUUUUACCGAGGUGCUGCAUGGCUGUCGUCAGCUCGUGUCGUGAGAUGUUGGGUUAAGUCCCGCAACGAGCGCAACCCUUGUCCUGUGUUGCUACCGAAAGGGCACUCUCAGGAGACCGCCAGCGAUAAGUUGGAGGAAGGUGGGGAUGACGUCAAGUCAUCAUGGCCUUUAUGUCCAGGGCUACACACGUGCUACAAUGGGCGGUACAAAGCGUUGCCAACCCGCGAGGGGGAGCUAAUCGCAAAAAACCGUCCUCAGUUCGGAUUGCAGGCUGCAACCCGCCUGCAUGAAGCUGGAAUCGCUAGUAAUGGCAUAUCAGAACGAUGCCGUGAAUACGUUCCCGGGCCUUGUACACACCGCUCGCGA
RNAcentral lists this ribosomal RNA (438 nucleotides) under uncultured bacterium. Its description in RNAcentral is "bacterial SSU rRNA". It matches the Rfam family "Bacterial small subunit ribosomal RNA", at positions 958 to 1399 of the family's 1533-position model. The record is from RNAcentral.